RNAcentral lists this long non-coding RNA (386 nucleotides) under Naja naja (Indian cobra). RNAcentral describes it as "lncRNA (ENSNNAG00000015428.1)". The record is from RNAcentral. Lineage: Eukaryota; Metazoa; Chordata; Lepidosauria; Squamata; Elapidae.
AGUUACUACACAAGUCAUGAUGUCAUCCCUGGCGAUUUCUCUUUAAAUAGAUUGGCUUAUAAGUGGCCAAACAACUGCACAAGGGGAUGGACGGUGGCCAAACAACUGCACAAGGAGAUGAAGGCAAUCCACAGCCUUCAAGAUUAAUAGCCACCGAUUUCCAUGAAUUGGUCCAACCCAUUUUUGAAGCCAACCAAACCUGAAAACUGGCCUAUGACCAUCAAUUCACUUCAGUCUGUUCUGGCACACAUUCCAGAAAAUCAAGUAUUCUACAUGCUGGUUUGGGGGUUGAACACAACUGAAAAGCAGCAUAAAAAUAAAAGCAUUUGUCACCAACCUUAUGUAUAACAAGGAAUUUUGUCCAGGGAUUUUGGACCUAUCUAAAG